This 253-nucleotide ribosomal RNA is filed under the name uncultured bacterium. Its description in RNAcentral is "partial 16S ribosomal RNA". It matches the Rfam family "Bacterial small subunit ribosomal RNA", at positions 524 to 776 of the family's 1533-position model. The record is from RNAcentral.
UACGUAGGGGGCAAGCGUUGUCCGGAUUUAUUGGGCGUAAAGAGCGUGUUGGCGGCCAGGUAGGUCUGCUGUGAAAACUCGAGGCUCAACCUCGAGACGCCGGCGGAAACCAUCUGGCUAGAGUCCGGAAGAGGAGAGUGGAAUUCCUGGUGUAGCGGUGAAAUGCGCAGAUAUCAGGAAGAACACCCGUGGCGAAGGCGGCUCUCUGGGACGGUACUGACGCUGAGACGCGAAAGCGUGGGGAGCGAACAGG